UACGUAGGUGGCAAGCGUUAUCCGGAAUUAUUGGGCGUAAAGAGCGCGCAGGUGGUUGAUUAAGUCUGAUGUGAAAGCCCACGGCUUAACCGUGGAGGGUCAUUGGAAACUGGUCGACUUGAGUGCAGAAGAGGGAAGUGGAAUUCCCGGUGUAGCGGUGAAAUGCGUAGAGAUCGGGAGGAACACCAAUGGCGAAGGCAGGUCUCUGGGCAGUUACUGACGCUGAGGAGCGAAAGCAUGGGUAGCGAACAGGAUUAGAUACCCCCGUA
Molecule: ribosomal RNA, 269 nt
Filed under: uncultured prokaryote
Description: partial 16S ribosomal RNA
Rfam family: Bacterial small subunit ribosomal RNA
Source: RNAcentral